GUGGCUACGAGGACGAACGCUUGGCGGUGUAGCCUUCACACAUGCAAGUCGAACGAGGUAGCAAUACCUAGUGGCGGACGGGUGAGUAACGCGUGGGAAUCUGCCUUUAGAUGGGGGAUAACGGGUCGAAAGACUCGCUAAUACCGCAUAUGACGAAAGUUGAAAGGAGUAAUCCGUCUAAAGAUGAGCCCGCGUCCGAUUAGCUAGUUGGUAGAGUAAAAGCCUACCAAGGCGACGAUCGGUAGCUGGUCUGAGAGGAUGAUCAGCCACAAUGGGACUGAGACACGGCCCAUACUCCUACGGGAGGCAGCAGUGGGGAAUUUUACGCAAUGGGCGAAAGCCUGACGUAGCGACACCGCGUGAGCGAAGAAGCCCCUUGGGGUGUAAAGCUCUGUCAGCUGGAACGAAAAAAUGACGGUACCAGCAGAGGAAGCAUCGGCUAACUACGUG
RNAcentral lists this ribosomal RNA (450 nucleotides) under uncultured bacterium. RNAcentral's name for it is "bacterial SSU rRNA". It matches the Rfam family "Bacterial small subunit ribosomal RNA", at positions 26 to 507 of the family's 1533-position model. The record is from RNAcentral.